Long non-coding RNA from Homo sapiens (human), 487 nucleotides. The record is from Ensembl. NCBI's taxonomy places the organism in Eukaryota, Metazoa, Chordata, Mammalia, Primates, Hominidae.
GUGCAACCUGCUCGGGUUCCCUUCCACGCUGUGGAAGGUUUGUUCUUUUUGUUCUUUGCCUUAAAUGCUGCUGCUGCUGCUCAGUCUUUGGGUCCACACUGCUUUUAUGAGCUGUAACACCACGAAGGUCUGCAGCUUCACUCCUGAAGCCAGUGAGACCACAAACCCACUGGGAGGAACAAACAACUCCAGACGCGCCCGCUUAAGAGCUGUAACAUUCACCAGGAAGGUCUGCAGCUUAGAGCGAGACCACAAACCCCCCAGAAGGAAGAAACUCCGAAUACAUCCGAACAUCAGAAGGAACAAACUCCGGACACGCCACCUUUAAGAACUGUAACUCAUUGCGAGGGUCCGCGGCUUCAUUCUUGAAGUCAGUGAGACCGAGAACCAACCAAUUCCGGACACAGAACGAAUCAACCAAGGAUGGAAAGCCCCUCUUUGAGCCGAAGGACUAGAGGAACAAAAGACUCAGCCCCAAGGUUAUCCG